CCUACGGGAGGCAGCAGUGGGGAAUAUUGGGCAAUGGGCGCAAGCCUGACCCAGCAACGCCGCGUGAAGGAAGAAGGCUUUCGGGUUGUAAACUGCUUUUAUAAGGGACGAAGAAGGUGACGGUACCUGAGGAAUAAGCAACGGCUAACGACGUGCCAGCAGCCGAGGUAAGACGUAGGUGGCAAGCAUUAUCCGGAUUUAUUGGGUGUAAAGGGCGUGUAGGGGGGAGCGCAAGUCAGAUGUGAAAACUCAGGGCUGAACCCUGAGCCUGCAGUUGAAACUGUGUUGCUUGAGUGUUGGAGAGGCAAUCGGAAUUCCGGGUGUAGGAGUGAAAUGCGUAGAUAUACGGAGGAACACCAGUGGCGGAGGCGGCCUGCUGGAC
This 382-nucleotide ribosomal RNA is filed under the name uncultured bacterium. Its description in RNAcentral is "partial 16S ribosomal RNA". It matches the Rfam family "Bacterial small subunit ribosomal RNA", at positions 338 to 734 of the family's 1533-position model. The record is from RNAcentral.